Molecule: small nuclear RNA, 122 nt
Organism: Ornithorhynchus anatinus (platypus)
Lineage: Eukaryota; Metazoa; Chordata; Mammalia; Monotremata; Ornithorhynchidae
Source: RefSeq, a predicted model, not a curated record
GUGUUGCACCAAAGGAGAGAUGGUUAGUAUUCAUUCCCCUCCCGAAGGAUGGAAGAGGUCCUAGUGACCUGUACCAAUUAAGGGAUUGUUAUCUACAUUGUGGCAUCUAAUCGUGUUUGGUU